RNAcentral lists this ribosomal RNA (520 nucleotides) under uncultured bacterium. RNAcentral describes it as "bacterial SSU rRNA". It matches the Rfam family "Bacterial small subunit ribosomal RNA", at positions 120 to 674 of the family's 1533-position model. The record is from RNAcentral.
GGGAACAUACCCUUUUCUACGGAAUAGCUCUGGGAAACUGGAAUUAAUACCGUAUACGCCCUACGGGGGAAAGAUUUAUCGGGGAAGGAUUGGCCCGCGUUGGAUUAGCUAGUUGGUGGGGUAAAGGCCUACCAAGGCGACGAUCCAUAGCUGGUCUGAGAGGAUGAUCAGCCACAUUGGGACUGAGACACGGCCCAAACUCCUACGGGAGGCAGCAGUGGGGAAUAUUGGACAAUGGGCGCAAGCCUGAUCCAGCCAUGCCGCGUGAGUGAUGAAGGCCUUAGGGUUGUAAAGCUCUUUCACCGGAGAAGAUAAUGACGGUAUCCGGAGAAGAAGCCCCGGCUAACUUCGUGCCAGCAGCCGCGGUAAUACGAAGGGGGCUAGCGUUGUUCGGAAUUACUGGGCGUAAAGCGCACGUAGGCGGACUUUUAAGUCAGGGGUGAAAUCCCGGGGCUCAACCUCGGAACUGCCUUUGAUACUGGAAGUCUUGAGUAUGGAAGAGGUAAGUGGAAUUGCGAGU